CGGGACUGAGAGGUUGACCCGGCGCAUCGGGACUGAGACACUGCCCGGACUCCUACGGGAGGCUGCAGUAACGAAUAUUGGUCAAUGGGCGAAAGCCUGAACCAGCGACGCCGCGUGUGGGAGGAAGCCCUUCGGGGUGUAAACCACUGUCAGGGAUUACCAAGCAAUGGAGGCUAAUACCCUCCUGCGUUGAGGCGUCCCAGAGGAAGUCACGGCUAACUUCGUGCCAGCAGCCGCGGUAAUACGAAGGUGGCGAGCGUUGUUCGGAAUCACUGGGCUUAAAGAGCACGUAGGCGGACUGCCAAGCGUCUUGUGAAAUCCCCCGGCUCAACCGGGGAAUUGCUGGGCGAACUGGUAGUCUUGAGGCAAGUAGGGGCAGAUGGAACUCUUGGUGGAGCGGUGGAAUGCGUAGAUAUCAAGAGGAACGCCAGAGGCGAAGGCGAUCUGCUGGGCUUGACCUGACGCUGAGGUGCGAAAGCCAGGGGAGCAAACGGGAUUAGAUACCCCGGUAGUCCUGGCCAUAAACGAUGUCCACUAGAUCGGUGAACUUCUGACAGUGUGCCGGUCGAAACAAAAGCGUUAAGUGGACCGCCUGGGGAGUACGGUCGCAAGGCUAAAACUCAAAGGAAUUGACGGGGGCUCACACAAGCGGUGGAGCAUGUUGCUUAAUUCGAUGCAACGCGAAGAACCUUAUCCUGGGCUUGACAUGCUUGGAUGCCCAUCUGGAAACAGAGUAGGCUGCCCUUCGGGGUGAAACUUGCACAGGUGCUGCAUGGCUGUCGUCAGCUCGUGUCGUGAGAUGUUGGGUUAAGUCCCGUAACGAGCGAAACCCUUGUCGUUAGUUGCCAGCGCGUAAUGGCGGGGACUCUAGCGAGACUGCCGGUGUUAAACCGGAGGAAGGUGGGGAUGACGUCAAGUCCUCAUGGCCUUUAUGCCCAGGGCUGCAAACGUGCUACAAUGGCGAGGACAAACCGACGCAAAGCCGCGAGGUCGAGCAAAUCGGAGAAACCUUGCCCCAGUUCGGAUUGGAGUCUGCAACUCGACUCCAUG
This 1050-nucleotide ribosomal RNA is filed under the name uncultured organism. RNAcentral describes it as "bacterial SSU rRNA". It matches the Rfam family "Bacterial small subunit ribosomal RNA", at positions 287 to 1322 of the family's 1533-position model. The record is from RNAcentral.